Molecule: long non-coding RNA, 1028 nt
Filed under: Aquilegia coerulea
Lineage: Eukaryota; Viridiplantae; Streptophyta; Magnoliopsida; Ranunculales; Ranunculaceae
Description: long non-coding RNA (ACOE_LNC000157)
Source: RNAcentral
GCCAUGGGUCCAAACAGAAGUCUCCAUCACCACCACCACCUAGCAAGGCACCAACUAUACCUCCAUCUCCAUCUCCAUCACCACCACCACCUAGCAAGGCACCAACUAUACCUCCAUCUCCAUCGCCACCACCACCUAGCAAAGGACCAACUAUACCUCCAUCUCCAUCACCACCACCUGCACCACCUAGCAAGGGACCAACUAUACCUCCAUCUCCAUCACCAACACCUAGUAAGGGGCCAACUAUACCUCAAUCUCCACCCCCACCUGCAGAAAACAAUGGCAGGAAUUCAACCAUAUAUAAUGUGUUGGAUUUUGGUGCUAAAGGAGAUGGAAGUACUGAUGACACAAAGGUGAACAUUUCUGUUUCUUUCUUAUUCUCCUUAAAUUGCUGGCCUAAUGUCUUUUCAAGAAUCAACAGGUAGAAUGAUAAUGUGGCAACAUUUUCAUUAUCAAGCAACUACUUAUCGCAUAGAAUUCGUGUCCAAACUUAGCUGAUGAUUUCUCAGAUAAAAGAUACUCACAAAUGAGAAACGCUGUUUUGAAUUCCAUUUAAUGCUAUUGUAGUAGCAACAUGUUUGCUCAUACAGCUACUUAGCAAGUGGCUAGUCCUAGAGUAAAGAGAGCCUCUCAUUGUUCAUGGAAUAAAUGAUUCAGAUGUUCUUUUUAGCAAACGGUGGGUAGUUUAGUCAAUUUGUAUAAGCACAUACUAAAAAGGGGAAAACUCUUGGUCUAUAGAACAACAUAUUUAUAAUAAGAAUAUUGAGAAAAUGACAAAAAUAUUCUUGAGAAACAAUCAGGGGUGCCCACUUGACAAUGAUGAUUCUAGUUAUACAACUGUUGGUCAGGUUUCCAUCUCUAACCGUUAUAAAGUUAUAUCUACAAACCACCACCACAUACCAUAUGAGGUUAUUUUGACCCUUCUGGGUAGUAGAAAAAAUCCACUAAUAAUAAAACACAAAAGGAUAAAGAAACAUACCUAUUAUAAUUUCUUCUUUGUUUUAAGUACAUAUGUUUACUUUUGGUUC